Molecule: long non-coding RNA, 4450 nt
Filed under: Homo sapiens (human)
Lineage: Eukaryota; Metazoa; Chordata; Mammalia; Primates; Hominidae
Description: HSALNT0345426
Source: RNAcentral
AGCCCGGGACAGCGCUGCACCUGUUGCCACGUGCGACGCGGCGCUCAGCGGCUGCCACUGCCGCCGGCGCACCUGGCUGCACCGCGCGUCCCGGGACCACGCUCGUCCCCGCAGGAGCCCGGGGCUCCGCCGCACCCAGCGCUAGGGCCCAGGCCGGGCCGCGGUAGGUGGGGGAUCUGACUCCUGCUUGCCUCUGGCCACCUGCAGGCCGAGGGGCCUCGCACCGCGGGGCGUAUAGAAGGUGGGAAGGUUGCAGAAUUAUCAGGGCGGAAGCUUGCAAGGAAGGAGUCGUGAUUGUCUCUUAGAAGGGCUGAUUCGCAGUCUGUAUUAUCUUCAUGCUUCUAGCAAGUUUACUAGCAAGUGUGUAUUAAAGGUUAAAGAAAGUAGCUUUCCAGCUAUUAGAGCUUGAGAUACAACGUGGAAAGGAGUCUAGAACCCCAGGGAGAUAAACUAGGCUCGACCUACUUUUCUCUAAACACAAACACAGUCCUUGCUGUUUGCUAAACUGAGCAAAUUUCAUCGACAGCUGUCUUCUAGGUCCGUAAAAUAUUUUCUUCUAUAAAGCAUAUUUUUAAUAGAAAACUUGUCCGAAGAUGCUAUUCUGCCUGUGAGAGAUGUCACAUUGCUGAACCGUGAAAUGUCAGACAACCUGAGAACAAAAUUUUAAUAUUUCCUUUUUAAUUACCUGGAUUGUGGUUUGCUAAAAGCUUUUAAAGAGAAGUGAACUUUUUUGGAGAAUAGACGUAAGGACUCUGUAUUUCACAGUUUUCUAUACCAUGAAUAUUAGAAUAACUGACAGAUGUCUUGCCAUUGAUAGUUGUAAAGACUUUUCAUAUGUACAAUGAUCCAUUAUUUCCUGACUACAAAACCCAGGGGUAUAUAGGUCAGAUUAUCUCCAUUAUUCAAAUGAGGAAUUGAAGCUCAGAAAGGUCAAGUGACUAGCGCAAGGUCACACAGCCAGUGAGGGCAAGUGCAAACCCAGCCAGCCUAACUCCUAAUCUUCUCUUUUAAUUCCAUUACAUAAUGACACCUCUCAUUUGCUUCAGAAAUCCCUGUUGUAAAGAUAGAUGCAACUAGCAUGAUCCGUGUUGUUAGGAAAGGCAUGUGAUUAAUUUUAAAUAGAUAUAGUAUUUAACACCACCAGAUGAGUCUCCCUCUGAAAAAGCACACAAAAACAAAACAAAACGCUGACAUAGUUUCCGCAAGUCACGAGGCAAUUAUGCUAAUUAGCAACAAGCCUCCAUCCCUAAGCAGAAUAGUUCUUGUGUGAAACAUAUCAUUUAAUCUUUAUAACCCUGAUGUGACCUAGAUGAUUUGGUCUAAACCCCACAAUCCUAUUGUGUGGCUUAGUUAUAUCUAUAAAUAUAGAACCUGUUUUACUUCAUUUUUGUGUCAGGUGGUUUGAAGGGGGGAAACAUACAAUGCUCUGCUAAGUAAUUAGAGCUACUUACGCAGGCAUUGGGGAAUCUGAAACUUAGCUUCUAAUUGUCUCCACAUAAAAACAGAAGUUAACUUCUAGGGACAUCUUCAGGGACUCCUCAAGGCAAAUAUUCAUGAAAUGGGGCCUAUUGGCUUUUCUUUUCAUCUUGGUUCUGGGCAUGUUGCCAUGUUCCUGAUCUCUGAACUCUGAUGCUGACCUGCUACAGACUCCAGGAGCAAUAUUAAGGAUAAAAUAAUAACUCACAUAACUUUGUGGCUCUUUAUUCUAAAAAAAAAAAAAAAAGUUGGCUCAAUUUUUUUUCCUCCAUAAGAAAAUGCAAAUUGCAACUGUAUUGAGAAACCAUUUUUUCACUUAUCAGAUUGUCAAAGAUUAGAAAGUUUGAUAAUCACAGUGUUGGUAAAAGUGUAGACUAGCAGUCACAAUGAAAAUGUAAAUGUAAAUUAUAAUGACCUCCCUAGGGGGAAGGUCAGGAUACCUAACAAUAUUGCAACUAUACGUAUAAGAGUUUAUCUUGGCCCUGCGUGGUGGCACGGUGACUCAUGCCUGCAAUCCCAGCACUUGGGGAGGCCGAGGCGGGCAGAUCACCUGAGGUCAGGAGUUGGAGACCAGCCUGGCCAACAUGGUGAAACCCUGUCUCAACUAAAAAUACAAAAAUUAGCCAGACAUGAUAGCAGGCGCCUGUAAUCCCAGCUACUUGGGAGGCUGAGGCAGGAGAAUCCCUUGAACCUGGAAAGCGAAGUUUGCAGUGAGCCGAGAUUGUGACACUGCACUCCAGCCUGGGCAACGCACCGCGACUCUGUCUCAAAAAAAAAAAAAGAGUUUAUCUUACAACACACAGGAGAAAUGAGUUAGUUCUUUAGAUCAGAGGUCCCCAACCCCAGGACUGCGGACUGCCACUGGUCUUUGGCCUGUCAGGCACCCGGCCACACAGCUGGAGUGUGAAAAAAAAGGAAAAAACUGAAAAUCUCAAGAGGAUUCCAGGAAAUCAAAACAAUGAAUUAUUGAAUCAAGAAUUUGAAAGAGAAAAUAGAUGCAUACUGAAAAAAGAAUUUUGUUUAGUGAGAUAGAUGUAAUAAUGAAGGCAUGUUGAUAACGGGGGAGCUAUGUAUAUAUGAGGGGAGGGAUAUAUUGGAAAUCUCUGUAUCUUCCUCUCAAUCUUGCUGUGAUCCUAAAACUGCUCUAAAAAAUAUUUUGAGAAGGAAUAAUGAUGUGGUAAACAUGUUCUGUUAUUUAAAAAGAGAGACUUUUCAUAGCCGCCUCCCUCCCCCUCUACACACACACAGAGUCCUGUCCGUCUUCAUUCCCUUACUCAAUAAUUUGUACAGACACAGCCACUGGGCUCCAGUAAUCCUAAAGUUUCUAGAAAAUCAAGCACAGAAAAAGGUUAAAACCCUGAGGGAAUAAAAGAAUUCCUUUGCAUCCAUUGCAUUUCUCAGGAAGUGAACUAACAAAUUCACUGCUUUUAAAUGAGGAAAUUUUCUCAGUGAAAUUGAUUCCAAACCUUCGUUAGGUCAACUGUUCCCAGAUUUCUUAGCUGAUGCCUGAUCUGACUAUUCCUUAUCUUUAGUACAGAAACCAAGGUGAAUGACCUUUAAAAAACAUAUUAGACUGUUGACGUGUCUUCUAUGUUGUACUCUAGGUAAAAACGAUAAACCAGGAAAAAGAAAGUAAAAUUCAACCUUAGGCUCAUGGAUCCAGAGUGGAUAAUUAUGAGUCUGUAGUAUCUACAUGCAUGUGAUGAGGUUCAAGGACAAUAACCAUAAAGCAAAGACUUAAAAGGUUUUAUCAUUAGAAUAAUUGUAAUUCACUUGAUCUCUCAAUGUAACAAUACUUCGGUCUACUGUCUCAAGCCAUUAUUAUGUCUUACACUCAGCAUAUUGGUUUGUCUACCAUUAAAUAUUUAUUUUCUACAGUGCUUUCUGGAAGGCAAACAAAGCAGCCACUCUGCUACUUUAUAUUGAUUCCUGAGUUGUCCUUCGGAAACGCUUUCAGGAAGUUUAAUAGGUUUGAAAGAUAUUUAGACCUGUGACUGGCAAAUAUACUUCCUUCUUUUUAUUUCAAUAAGAGAGUACUAGAACUUAGAUCUUUAUUGUUUAAUCUAGUCAGUGCUGUCAUUGUCAAUCAAGUUCUCAAAUGACACUUGUCCUGAGCUGUAACUGAUCUAUUCAGAAGAAUAUGAAAAUAGUAAAGACGGCAACUAUGCAUGUUUUUACCGGACACGAUUUUAAUUGCUUUAAAAUGAAGUUAUGCAACCAAUGAGGAAUGGAGCUUUUGGAGUGGCCUGAAGCUAAAGGUUUCAGGUGUAUUUUUGCUUUCUUUGAAGAAAGAACCAAAUCAUUUUAUUUAAUAAAAAGGCCAUUUAUCAAGAAUUUCUUAAAGCUGUUUUAAACCUGAGUUUGCAAUUUAUAGAAUAUGUUCAAGCAGCCUCAGUGCCCUUUUAAUUGGAUGGUUUUCACAGAUUUAUCCAAUUUGAGAUUUAUCCAGUGAGAAUUCCCUUUGUUCAAGUAUAUAUGUCUUCUCUUCCAUAAAGCAGAUUCAAAUGAAAGAGUGCAAUCUGAUAUAUCAGACAUGUCAGUUAUACAUUUGAUGUGGUAAAUUUAUAAGAGAGGCCAAUUAUUGUUAUGAAAAAAUACAAUGAAAUACAUGAUAGUCAUUUACUGUUUUUAUAACUAAUCUAAAAGUAUUUACUAAAAAGAAACUAUUUCUUUUCAUAUGUACUUUACUUUUUACUUUAACCCUUCAUAUGUCCUUUAAAUAAAGAGAAGAAAAAAAGUCAUUUAUAUUUAUCCACAUAUUUUCUAUUUCAGGUGGUCCUCAUUCAUUCUUGUAGAUCCAAGUUACCAUCUGUUAUUAUUUUCUUUGUCACCUGAAGAAUUUUCAGAACUAUUUCUUCCUAUAUGUAGCAUGUAUAGAUACUCUAAAAAGUCCAUUAUAUGAUGUAUAAAACAAAGCAUACAAUGUAGUCUCUGCCCUAAUUAUUUGUAAUUUAUAUAAAACCUUUUAUUUUUU